This 230-nucleotide ribosomal RNA is filed under the name uncultured bacterium. RNAcentral's name for it is "partial 16S ribosomal RNA". It matches the Rfam family "Bacterial small subunit ribosomal RNA", at positions 568 to 796 of the family's 1533-position model. The record is from RNAcentral.
UGCGUAGGCGGAUAUACAAGUCAGAGGUGAAAGCUCACCGCUCAACGGUGGAAUUGCCUUUGAAACUGUAUAUCUUGAAUCAUGUUGAGGUUGGCGGAAUGAGUCAUGUAGCGGUGAAAUGCAUAGAUAUGACUUAGAACACCGAUUGCGAAGGCAGCUGACUAAGCAUGUUAUUGACGCUGAGGCACGAAAGCGUGGGGAGCGAACAGGAUUAGAUACCCUGGUAGUCC